GAUGAACGCUGGCUACAGGCUUAACACAUGCAAGUCGAGGGGAAACGACGGGGAAGCUUGCUUCCCCGGGCGUCGACCGGCGCACGGGUGAGUAACGCGUAUCCAACCUGCCUCUGACUGAGGGAUAACCCGUCGAAAGUCGGCCUAAUACCUCAUGGCAUCGUCUGCGGGCAUCCAACGACGAUUAAAGAUUUCAUCGGUCAGAGAUGGGGAUGCGUCUGAUUAGCUUGUUGGCGGGGUAACGGCCCACCAAGGCGACGAUCAGUAGGGGUUCUGAGAGGAAGGUCCCCCACAUGGGAACUGAGACACGGUCCAAACUCCUACGGGAGGCAGCAGUGAGGAAUAUUGGGCAAUGGGCGAGAGCCUGAACCAGCCAAGUAGCGUGCAGGAGGACGGCCCUAUGGGUGGUAAACUGCUUUUAUGCGGGGAUAAAGUGAGGGACGUGUCCUUCAUUGCAGGUACCGCAUGAAUAAGGACCGGCUAAUUCCGUG
This 491-nucleotide ribosomal RNA is filed under the name uncultured bacterium. RNAcentral's name for it is "partial 16S ribosomal RNA". It matches the Rfam family "Bacterial small subunit ribosomal RNA", at positions 28 to 507 of the family's 1533-position model. The record is from RNAcentral.